UCAGGGGAGCACGCUGGGAGGAGGGGCACCUCGGGAAAGCAAGGCGCUCCAGUCCCCAAGACCCCAGGUUGUCACCAGAGGAUCCUGACGCGCAAGCAGCCGCGUUGUGUUAAAUCCACAAGACUUGUCACCCCAACUUCCCACUCCUAAAACCUAAGUGGGGGAUGAAAAGGAUCCUAGGGUGACGGAAGAAAGUAGAAGCUCUAUCUUCUGUGCUUGGGAUCCAGAAAUAAAAGCAAUGAACAGGGGAGACGGAGGCAGACGACCGGGCACGCGUCGGAUACGGGUCUUGCGGAAGAGUGGGAGGUAGAGUUGACAGCUGUGCAAAGUCUGGGGAGAGAUCUGAACAGGAGAUAAGAAUGCAGGACACCUCAAUAUCUCAGGUUUUUGAUCACCAUUUACUUCCUCUCCUUCAGUUGCAGUUAUAUUCUCCUUUUCCUUCAAGGU
This is a long non-coding RNA of Orcinus orca (killer whale), 447 nucleotides long. RefSeq lists it as uncharacterized. The record is from RefSeq and is a predicted model, not a curated record. The transcript has 3 exons. Lineage: Eukaryota; Metazoa; Chordata; Mammalia; Artiodactyla; Delphinidae.